Molecule: ribosomal RNA, 273 nt
Filed under: uncultured bacterium
Lineage: Bacteria
Description: partial 16S ribosomal RNA
Rfam family: Bacterial small subunit ribosomal RNA
Source: RNAcentral
UACGGAGGGUGCAAGCGUUAUCCGGAUUCACUGGGUUUAAAGGGAGCGUAGGUGGGCUUUUAAGUCAGUGGUGAAAUCUUUGGGCUUAACCCGAAAACUGCCAUUGAUACUAUUAGUCUUGAAUUCUCUGGAGGUAAGCGGAAUAUGUCAUGUAGCGGUGAAAUGCUUAGAUAUGACAUAGAACACCCAUUGCGAAGGCAGCUUACUACGGAGCGAUUGACACUGAGGCUCGAAAGCGUGGGGAUCAAACAGGAUUAGAAACCCCCGUAGUCC